AAGCUCCGUGCCGAACUGUCCCCUCAGGGGGUGCGUUCCCGAAAGGGAUAGGCCGGAGCUUCUUC
This 65-nucleotide non-coding RNA is filed under the name unclassified sequences. RNAcentral's name for it is "DUF3800-IX RNA". It matches the Rfam family "DUF3800-IX RNA". Rfam says of the family: Actinobacteria, Firmicutes (1 example), Nitrospirae, Proteobacteria, Verrucomicrobia (1 example). Nearby to DUF3800 The record is from Rfam by way of RNAcentral.